Magnolia sinica is the source of this 398-nucleotide long non-coding RNA. RefSeq lists it as uncharacterized. The record is from RefSeq and is a predicted model, not a curated record. Lineage: Eukaryota; Viridiplantae; Streptophyta; Magnoliopsida; Magnoliales; Magnoliaceae. The transcript has 3 exons.
GAAAGUUAGAAGUGAACCACGUAGCUGGUUCAAAGUCAUUUGUACUACUUCGUCACGACAUGCGAGAUUCCGUCACUGGCCAGGAGCCCGGACCAGUAGACUUCUACAAAGGGACUCACUGUCGACAGCGACAGGAUCUUGGGUACAUCCGAGAGCCAGCGAGAUUUGGGAGGAGAUGAACACCUUACGCAGUUAGCCCACUCCCGAUGGUACUCAGCGGAGUGAGCCAGAGAUCCUGAGUCAGGUGCUUGGCACCCGUUCUGGAUAUGUGUGUGGGUUUGGCCAUAGUACCAAACUCAUGACACCCGCUAGAGCUGCCUCCAGCCGAUCCAUCGUUAUUGGUGACAGCGCCGUACGCCGAGCUGAUACUGCAGAGAGAGAGGUUUAGCAGCUACGGG